GAUGAACGCUGGCGGCGUGCUUAACACAUGCAAGUCGAACGAAGCACUUUAUUUGAUUUCCUUCGGGACUGAUUAUUUUGUGACUGAGUGGCGUACGGGUGAGUAACGCGUGGGUAACCUGCCUUGUACAGGGGGUUAACAGUUGGACACGGCUGCUAAUACCGCAUAAGCGCACGGCAUCGCAUGCUGCAGUGUGAAAAACUCCUGUGGCAUAAGAUGGACCCGCGUUGGAUUGGCUAGUUGGUGAGGUAACGGCCCACCAAGGCGGCGACCCAUAGCCGAGCUGGGAGGGUGACCGGCAACAUUGGGACUGGGACACGGCCCGAACUCCUACGGGAGGCAGCAGUGGGGAAUAUUGCACAAUGGGCGAAAGCCUGAUGCAGCGACGCCGCGUGAGCGAAGAAGUAGUUAGGUAUGUAAAGCUCUAUCAGCAGGGAAGAUAAUGACGGUACCUGACGAAGAAGCACCGGCUAAAUACGUG
This 481-nucleotide ribosomal RNA is filed under the name uncultured bacterium. RNAcentral describes it as "partial 16S ribosomal RNA". It matches the Rfam family "Bacterial small subunit ribosomal RNA", at positions 28 to 507 of the family's 1533-position model. The record is from RNAcentral.